GCAUUAAAGUGAUGCAGGACCCAAGGACAAAGGGGAAGCAUGUGGAGGCUACAUGGGACCAAUGAUGAUGGAUACCAGGGUAAAUAGACGUUACCAUGAAGGAUGGAUAUGACAUGUAGCAAGAAUAUGAGGAAAACAACUGAAGACAACAAAAAUGCACAGAUUUCCAGUUCCACAGAAGGUGCAACAGGAAGGAAGGAGCACUAGAGGUGGAAUUCCACCCAGUUUAUCCUGCCACCAUCAGCAGAUGUGUCUCUGGUAAAUAUCGUAUUGUUGGAUUCUGAUUUGUAAUAUGUGCUGCUAUCCUUUUCUGUUCAUGGAUUCAAUUGCACGUCUAGCCAAAGAUGUUGGUAAUCUCUCACUCAGGAUCUGGCAGUUAUCCGGGACGAUGAAAUGUGUUCUCAGCCCUAGGCAAAGGGGUUCAGUGAGAAGAUUUCAUCUUUGCCGGGAGACAUUCUGCCUGGCUUCUCCUGUUGAAUGUAGUUGCGCACAGCCUCUAACAGGCUCCAGAGCUCUCGGUCUCGUCAGAUACAGGACAGCCUUUCUAGUCACAUCACAGUAAUACAGAGUCAAAAUGACGACGAGAUAAAACCCCAAGCUGAUGCCAGGGAAUGAAUUCUGCCAAGGCUCACAAAGUAGCACCGCUCAGGAGCCCAGAAGAGAGCAGAGCAGUGUGUGAGAGCAAGACAGAGACCUUCCCAGACACCAAGUCGGAGAGAGGGAUAAAGAGACUUGGGGACAGACAGAACGUCAGAGACACACUAUUCAGAGUGGGAGGGCAGAGGUAGACAGGCAACAUCUAGCAAGAAACAAAAAACAACCAAGAGCAGCAUCAAGCAGGGAACAACUUUAGACAUAGCAAGUAAUGGCGCAUCAGAAGAUGCUGAGGACUGAGGCAUUCGGGACAUGACUUGCCCUUCACUGGGUGUCACAUUUCUGCUGGAUUUGUCUCCUCUCUGGUUAUCUCAUUGUCACUAUCAGAUGCUGCCCCUCUAUACCAGAUUCAGUGUUUUAUCUCAGCAGGUCUACUUGAUGGCUUCUAAUCUCCUGAAGACUAGCAUCUAGUGACUUGAAAGACUUUCCCUAAUGAGACCCAGUGUAUAAUUUUAGCCAUAGUCAGAGGGUAUAAAUGACACUCCUCGGUGUAAGAAAAGCCAGAAAGGGUAAGUUCAAUAUCUUUACUAUUUAGUGUUUUUUUUAAUCCAUAUUAUGAACAGAUAAUAUAAAAGGUAAGUUAGAAAGAUAUGACUCCUAAAUGGGUAGUUCUAAGAAAAUAAAGAGAAAGAGAACAAGUUAAGAGCCUAUGUC
This is a long non-coding RNA of Monodelphis domestica (gray short-tailed opossum), 1308 nucleotides long. Lineage: Eukaryota; Metazoa; Chordata; Mammalia; Didelphimorphia; Didelphidae. The record is from Ensembl.